This 72-nucleotide non-coding RNA is filed under the name Deltaproteobacteria bacterium. RNAcentral describes it as "Fluoride sequence". It matches the Rfam family "Fluoride riboswitch aptamer (crcB RNA motif)". The record is from RNAcentral. Lineage: Bacteria; Pseudomonadati; Myxococcota; Myxococcia.
AGUUUAUUAGGCGAUGAAGUCCGCCAAAACCGCCCCGCUUUCCUGGGCUGGGCUGAUGACUUCUGUCCAACG